Non-coding RNA from Merluccius polli (Benguela hake), 74 nucleotides. The record is from the annotation of a GenBank genome assembly. Lineage: Eukaryota; Metazoa; Chordata; Actinopteri; Gadiformes; Merlucciidae.
GGAUAGCACAGUGGCUACAGUGAUUCGCUCCGAGCCGAAAGUUACCGGGUUCGAUCCCCGGGCGCCGCGGUCCA